UUUCUUUUAAUGAUUAGCUCUUUAUCAGCUAUAAACAUUGUGAAGUUAUUGUCAAUUUGGAUUAUCUUUUACACGGGAGGAACAAAAUAAUCUUCAUAGAAUCUUAUGCUUUAACUUGGAUAUUUGGAUCUCUUAGUUGUCCACUUUUUUGGAAUUGAAUGGUCUUUACAGAGGUUUAUGCAGCAUCUAAAUGGAGAUACGGUCCCUGAGUUGCAAGAGUACUGUAGUUUAGUUUUUUGGGUCCAAUGUUGCCUUUGAAGUCCUGUUUAUUCUCUUUUCAUUUGCUUCCAUGUGGACUUCCUUUUCCAUGUUCCAGUUUCUAUUCUGAAAGGUGGUGAGGGAGCUAUCUUUUAAGCAGUCAGUUAUAUUGAUUCCUAUGAAAUUGGGAGCUCUUUUCCUUUUUUUUUCUUUGAUGUGAUUAGUUUUCUUGAAAGCUGCUUAUCAUUUGAAGUUUUAACAAUUUAAUUGAAAGAUGCAGGGGACGUAUGUUGAAGGAAUCAAGGAGGAAGUUGUUCUGUCCCCUGCUCAUGCACUUUCCUUAAUAGCAUCUGGGGAAGAGCAUAGACAUGUGGGUUCCAACAACUUUAAUUUACUGAGCAGUCGGAGCCAUACAAUAUUUACUUUGACAAUUGAAAGCAGUUCACGAGGAGGCAAUCAAGGGGAAGAAGUAGCUCUGUCGCAGCUGCAUCUGAUUGAUUUGGCAGGCUCUGAAAGUUCCAAGACUGAGACAACUGGGUUAAGAAGGAAAGAAGGUUCAUUCAUAAACAAGAGCUUACUCACUCUUGGCACUGUUAUAUCUAAACUAACAGAUGAAAAAUCUACUCAUAUCCCAUAUCGAGAUUCAAAGCUUACACGUCUGUUGCAGUCAUCACUCAGUGGACAUGGUCUAGUUUCCCUCAUUUGCACGGUAACACCAGCCUCCAGCAACACAGAGGAGACACACAACACCUUGAAAUUUGCUCAUCGAACUAAGCAUGUGGAAAUAAAAGCAUCACAGAAUAAGAUUAUAGAUGAGAAGUCUCUCAUCAAAAAGUAUCAGAGAGAAAUAUCCUGUUUGAAACAAGAGCUUGAUCUUCUGAAGCGUGGCAUUAUGGAAAAUCAGAAAGUGGGACCCAGUGAAGAUGAUCUGGUUAAUCUGAAGCUCCAGUUAGAGGCUGGGCAGGUGAAGUUACAAUCACGAUUGGAAGAGGAGGAACAAGCGAAAGCAGCAUUGAUGGGAAGGAUACAAAGAUUAACUAAACUAAUCUUAGUUUCUACAAAAAGUACAAUGCAACCUGAUAUCCAUGAAAAGCCUGGCCAUAGACGCAGACAUUCUUUCGGAGAAGAUGAGCUGGCUUACUUACCGGAUAGAAAACGAGAAUACAUGAUAGAUGAGGAUGCUGGAAGCAUUGACUCUGAACUAUCAGCCGAUGGAAGAGAGGGUGUCACAAACCUUGAUGAAUUGGUCAAAGAUUUUAGAAGAAACAGAAGGAGAGGGAUGCUUGGCUGGUUCAAGUUAAAAAAGCCCGAAAAUCUGAUUGGAUCAUCACCAAGUGCUGAUUAUGAAAGCUCUGCAAGUGGUUCACCUGCAUUCUCGUUGAAGUCAUUGCAAAGUAGAGUCACAUUCAGUGAUAUGAAGGAAGGGCGGAGAAGAUCUGUUAAUAAGCGAGGGGAUGAUGUUCAAGCGGUAGACUUUGUCCCAGAUAGAACCCAAGCAGGUGAUUUGUUCAGUGCAGCUACUGGAGGUCGACUUCCACCAACUGGGACCACUGUAACUGAUCAAAUGGAUCUUCUUCACGAGCAAGUGAAGAUGCUAGCUGGUGAGGUUGCAUUAUGUGUUAGUUCUCUUAAACGAGUAUCAGAGCAAUCAGUCAAGAAUCCUGAGAACUUGCAGCUUCAGGAGCAAAUGCGAAACUUAAAGGAUGAAAUCAGAGAGAAAAAAUUUCAGAUGCGUCGCCUGGAGCAACACAUGGUUGGAUCAGUAGAAAUGACACAUCAGGGUUCACUCAAUAUUGAGAUUUCUCAGGCAUUGUCCAAGCUAGCUGCUCAGCUAAAUGAAAAGACCUUCGAGCUGGAGAUUAAAUCUGCAGACAACAGAGUACUGCAAGAGCAACUAAACGUGAAGAUGUCCGAGAAUUCUGAGAUGCAAGAAACUAUCCUUCUGCUGAGGCAACAACUUGAUUCCUUAUUAUCAGAAAAAAGUUCUGCGUGCCAGCAACAGGAUGCAGAUCAUGACGCUGCCACACUAGCAGUGUAUUCGGAUGAAUAUACAGAAGCUAAACUCGAAAGGGAAGCUGGGGUUUGUUCAUAUGAAGAAAGAACUCCGAAUGAAAGUACUCAAACUAGUAUUAUGAGAUCAAAUGAAAGACUUGUGCACGAAGUCCCCAAUGAAUGCAGUAUUGAUGCAUUCUUGAACUCUCAGCUUCUUUCACAGGCUGCUGAGAUAGAGUCCCUGAAACAAGAGAAGGAGCAAAUUGUCGAGGAGAAGGAAGGGUUAGAAAUUCACCAUCAAAAGCUAGCUGAGGAAGCUUCUUAUGCAAAAGAGCUGGCAGCAGCAGCAGCAGUUGAGCUCCGAAACUUAGCUGAAGAGGUAACAAAGCUCUCUUACCUCAAUGCCAAACUCGCUGCUGAAAAAGAUGCCCCUUGCAAAAAUAACUGCUGUAGGAGAUCUGCUUCAUUUGAUAUGAAGCAAGAUGGUGAUGGUGGAGGUCGACCUGAUGCCCAUGUUAGGAAGACAGAAGAUUUCUUAUCGGUGGAUGAGUUGGAGCAAGAGCUGAAUGCACGACAUCAAAGAGAGGCUUCUUUGGUUGCUGCAUUGUAUGAGAGAGAUAAAAUAGAAAGUGAACUACGAAAACAACUUGAUGAAGCAAAGAGGCGAAAAGAAGAUAUGGAGAAUGAGCUUGCCAAUAUGUGGAUACUUGUUGCAAAGAUGAGGAAAUCUGGUCCUAUUCCUGAGACUGUCUCAUUUGAGGGGUCUGAUGUGUCUAAUAUCUUGGAAGCAAAAUUAAGAAAUGACAUUUCCUUGUCCAAUGGUCAUUUGGAGAAAAAAUUUAAUAAUAGUGAGACAUUUGAAAACAUUCCUGCUGCGGAUGCAUUGGAACAAUUGAAGCAUCGUUACCAUAAGGAAAGGAAAAGGUGCAAGGAACUAGAUGAUUUAGUUUCAAGAUUAAAGGGUGAUGAUUUGGGUGGCUUGGAUAUUAAUGCACUCGAAGAGCUGCAAAGCCUUCACGUUGAGGCCAUUACCAAGAUUUGUCGUGCAAAGAUUUGCAGUGUAGCUAGGAGCUGAUUCGCUCAUUACUCUAGGAUGGUUUCAGCUGGAGCCUUGACUGUUGAAAUGCAGAAAACAUUGAUUAUGUGUUUUCCAUGUCCACCACAGGGUCUGGUCGCAUUGAGCAAAAGUCUACGGCUGUUCAUUAGAUUUAUUACCUUCUGGAACUUGGCCAGCUGAUCCAUCAUCUUUCCGGGAUAUCAGAGUCAUUGAAGCUACAGCUGCUUCAGAUACGGGUGUGGAUCAGUUGGUAUCUCGUAUAAGGUUGUCGAGACAAUUAGUAUUUUCUUCUCAGCAUAUUCAAAUGUCCUUCCAUAAGUGCAUAGGCUUACCUCUUGUUUUUCCCUCUGGAUCAGGAAGAGAUGUGCUUAAUCGAUGUUCUAUAGCAUUUUGCUUGGAGUUCCUUGACCCCCCGGACAUCUAAGGUAUAAGCCAAGUGUCAACUGGUCAACUCAUCGUUUAUUGCCAAAACUUCAUACAACCAGCAAUCACAAUGGGGGACCAAAGUGUAUAGCUAACUGUAAUACUCAAAGCCAGGAGAGGAUUCGUUGAUUAGACCUGUACCAUUAUUUGUAUUUGGGAUACACCUUAUAUCCUUAGUGUAGUCAUAGAGAACAUUUCAGUAAAACAUCUGUACUCCCAAUGACUGACCAAUUACAUUUGUUACUCUACAACAUGUACAGAAUAUGGCUCGAAGCACGCAUUAGCUUCUCACUUUGUCACCUUA
Nicotiana tabacum (common tobacco) is the source of this 3974-nucleotide non-coding RNA. The record is from RefSeq and is a predicted model, not a curated record. NCBI's taxonomy places the organism in Eukaryota, Viridiplantae, Streptophyta, Magnoliopsida, Solanales, Solanaceae.